CACACACACUCUUUCUCUCUCCACACAAUUUGAUUAAUAAUUAAAUAAUAAAGUAAAUAAAAAUAGAUCGAAAUAAUAUGUAGAAAAAAUAGAUCGAAGUAGAGACUAUAUUGGCUUUGAUCUGGGGUUUAAUGGAUAUGAUGAAUUUGGGAAUUUCUUUGGUAAAUUGACUAAUGGGUGAUAUUAAUUAAUUUGUAUAAUAAGUUUUUUGAUUGGUUGUUCGAUUCUUGGAAACCCUAACUAAUUGCGAAUUUGUAAAGAUUGGCUUAUUUGAUGGCUUCUUUUGGAGAAUCUCUGGUAGAGGGUCAAUCUGGUACUAAUCUAAAAGGGGUGCUAGGGGUGAUUUAGUUGCGUAAUUAGUUGUUAGCUGUUUUAUUAUUAUUAUUAUUUAUUUAUUUAUUGUGUACUGUGUGCUGUUUUGUCACAUUGGUUGGAUUUGUUUUUGAUGCCUCAUUUAUAUUCUGCUGUAGUGGGUAACUAUUUUAUGCCAUUACUUAAUUGUAUAUAUUAAUGUGUGGGGAGGGAAAGCUACGACUGUUUAUGUGUUAUUGGAGCUAUUUGAUGAGUUUGUAUCGGUGGAUGUGGGUCGGUCGAUUGAUAGAGGUGAAAGGUUGAGGAUAGAGUUUGUUAGAUAUAGUUUUUAUUGGGGGAAUAUGGUUUUAUCUUAUCUACGAAGUCAUAGAUAUCUUGUAGUGCUAUCAAAGUAUGUUAACAUACAUUUUUUGAUGUAUUUGGAUAUAGAUAAUUUACUAAAAUGAAAAGUCGCGUGUGUAAUAAUCUUGAGAAGAACUUGUACUUCUUUCGAUGGAAUUUGUGUAAUUGAUCUCGAUUACCCGCUUUCCUGUCUUCUUAGUCUUGUAGCUGUUUUUUUAGAAGGGCCUGUAGUUGCCUUUUCCCUGUAUUUGGUUGUUGAGGCUCAUCUGUAAUUGCUAGCGUGGUGUUUAUUUCCAGGGCUCGAGCUUGGCGUUGAAUUUAGUGUCUGUUGGGUUUUCUUUAUUAUUUGGUUGAUUUUGACGCAGUUAAUCUUUGUGAUAAUGUAACAUCAAUAAGAUUUAAGAAUUUAACACAGAGCUUAUGUUUACUUUUUUCUUUUGAUUUUCCUUUUUCUCCUGUAAGAAGAAUUGCUGAUUAAGAUAUUAAUUUGAUCGUGCAGGCUGUAGCUAUACAUUCCUGAUUUAGAUACUGCGGCUGUAGCUGUGAGUGCUGACCACUACUAAAGCACUUCAUUUGCUUCAUGUUUUUAGUAUUCCAAUUAGACGAGGAUGUUGUAAAUCUAAUGUUCUUGGCUGGAUUGCAAACCAAAGUGUUUGAUGCUGUGACUUUUUUCCUUUAAUCAAGUUUGUUGCUUUCCCCAAAUUGCAGAGUAUUUCUUGCUUUUAAUGUUCUGUGGGAAAUAAAGAGGUUAGAAAAUUUGCCCAUAGCUCUGUGAGAAUUAAAUAUUAGCGAGACGUGGUGGUAUAAGCUCCUUUUAUUCAGUGUAUAUGCAAUUAUAUUGGAGAUGGGUUCUAAAGGAAGGCUGUUGUUUGAUCUUAAUGAACCCCCUUCUGAGGAUGACCAGGACAAUGAUGGUGUCCUCUGUUUCCAGCCCCAGAGAGCAGUACCCUCUUCUAGUACCAAGACUUCUGAGUUUUUGGCAUCCUCUGUUGAUCCUCCGGGGAUAGUAAACAAUCAUGCUUUUUCCCAUGCCUCUUCUGUUUCAGGUUUUCAGCCCUUUGUACGGUCAAAAGGUGCAGAGGCAUCUAGAGCUCCUGAGGAACAGAAGAGUGCUGGGGCCAUAACUUUCAGCGGUGCUUCAUUGUCUAAAUCAAGUCAGGAACAUGUAUUGAAGGAUGUGCUCCAGCCAGAUCUGAACUCUCUCGAUAUGCAAACGGCUGAAAAGGAAGAAGGUGAAUGGUCUGAUGCAGAGGGUUCAACUGAUGCAUAUAAAAAUUUAGGCAUCAAUGAUAAGUCGAAUACUGAUGUUGAUAAAGCUACGCAGGAGAAAUCAGCAGUUGAGCCAGUGAAUAAUAGUGAUAAAGUUCGCUCUGCCGAUAAUGCUUCUCAGGAUAAUGAGAAACGGAAUGGUGAAAAUUCCAAUAUUUCUUCUUUAGAAUUAGAUCCAGAUACAAAUGACAGGAAAAGUAAUAGUAGCAGAAAUUCUGAAACCAGUAAUAAAACUGAUAUCGCCAUGGAUGGUCAGGAGGAUUCUGGCCAGGUGCCAAAGCAUAGAGAGAUUAGAGGUGCUGAGGCAAUUCAUGCUUUAAAGUGUGCUAACAAUUUUGGUAAGCGCCCUAAGAUUGACCAACAAAAGGAAGCGAUGCUGGGAAAGAAGCGCAGUAGGCAGACGAUGUUUCUUGAUUUGGAAGACGUUAAGCAGGCAGGUUCAAUAAAAAGUGCUACGAGGCGGCAAAAUUUUCCAGCACCUAUUACUCGUAUUGUGAAAGAGUCGCGUACUGUUCCUCCGCCUGCUGAAAAGAAUGGGGAAAAGCAGAGUCAGCAACUUGUUAAAGAUAUAAAACAAAACGAAUCAACUAAUGAAGGCAACUAUCCUAUGGAAUCUAUUGAUUAUAAAUCUGAAUCAAGUGCUGAUGUGAACCUAGCACCUCUAGGUCGUCCUAGACGGAUGAAUAGUUCGAUCGACCUCACGCCUGAGGCUCAAACAUCACCUAUGCCUAGACCGAGUUCUUCGAAACAUCCCACAGAUCCGAGACAAGGUAGAAAUUCGCAGGUCCCUGGUAGGAAGCCUGCUCUGACCAGUCAAAGUUCCAUGGAUCCAAAAUUGGGAGCCAAAAAACCUCCGUCCAAGAAGCAACCUAUAGUAAGUAGCCAGUCCCAAGAUACAUCUGUAGAACGCCUUAUCCGGGAGGUGACGAACGAGAAGUUUUGGCAACAUCCAGAUGAAACGGAGCUUCAGUGUGUUCCCGGUCACUUUGAAUCUGAGGAAGAAUAUGUUAAGGUGUUUGAACCUUUGCUCUUUGAGGAAUGCCGGGCACAGUUGUACAGUACUUGGGAGGAGAUGGGUGAAUCAGGAACCCAUGUGAAGGUCCAUGUUAAAAACAUUGAACGGCGAGAAAGAGGAUGGUAUGAUGUAAUCCUUAUUCCAGAAUGUGAGUGGAAGUGGUCAUUCAAAGAGGGAGAUGUUGCAGUUCUCUCAACUCCACGUCCUGGUUCAGUCCGAUCACGGAGAAGCGGAACCUCAACAUUUGGGGAUGAUGAGCAGCCUGAAAUAACUGGUCGUGUGGCCGGUACUGUGAGACGACACAUACCUAUUGAUACUCGAGAUGCUACUGGAGCCAUCCUGCACUUCUAUGUUGGAGAUCCGUAUGACACCAACAGCAAUAUUGAUAGUGAUCACAUACUGCGGAAACUACAACCAAGAGGCAUCUGGUUUCUGACUGUUCUGGGUUCUCUAGCAACGACCCAACGAGAAUAUGUUGCUUUACAUGCAUUUCGGCGUCUUAAUCUGCAGAUGCAAAAUGCAAUUCUUCAGCCAAGUCCAGAGCACUUCCCUAAAUAUGAAGAGCAGACACCUGCAAUGCCUGACUGCUUUACGCCAAACUUUGUUGACCACUUGCACAGGACAUUCAAUGGACCGCAGCUAGGAGCAAUCCAAUGGGCUGCAACACAUACAGCUGCUGGAACUAAUGGUAUGACAAAGAGGCAAGAUCCAUGGCCUUUUACUCUAGUUCAGGGGCCACCUGGUACAGGUAAAACACACACAGUGUGGGGAAUGCUGAACGUCAUUCAUCUUGUUCAGUAUCAGCACUAUUACACCGCAUUGCUCAAGAAACUUGCUCCUGAAAGCUAUAAGCAGAAUAAUGAGAGUAACUCAGAUAAUGUUGCUACUGGAUCCAUUGAUGAAGUCCUGCUAAGCAUGGACCAGAAUCUCUUCAGAACCCUCCCAAAGCUAUGCCCAAAACCUAGAAUGCUUGUCUGUGCUCCUUCAAAUGCUGCAACCGACGAGCUUCUUGCACGUGUUCUUGAUCGUGGAUUCAUCGAUGGGGAGAUGAAAGUUUAUCGGCCUGAUGUUGCACGAGUCGGGGUGGAUUCCCAAACGCGUGCUGCCCAAGCAGUCUCUGUGGAGCGGAGAACUGAACAGCUUUUGAUGAAGAGUCGUGAUGAAGUUUAUGGGUGGAUGCACCAGUUGAGAGCUCGUGAAGCUCAGUUGUCUCAGCAGAUAGCUGGCCUUCAAAGAGAACUAACAGUUGCUGCUGCUGCUGGUCGUUCACAGGGAUCUGUCGGAGUUGACCCUGAUGUUCUUAUGGCUAGGGACCAAAACCGAGAUUCUCUAUUGCAGAACCUUGCGGCAGUGGUUGAGAAUAGAGAUAAAAUAUUGGUGGAAAUGUCCCGCCUUCUGAUUUUGGAAAGUAGGUUCCGUGGUGGUAACAAUUUCAACAUGGAGGAAGCUCGUGCUAGUCUGGAGGCUAGUUUUGCCAAUGAAGCUGAAAUUGUUUUCACUACUGUCUCAAGUAGUGGGAGGAAAUUGUUCUCUCGUCUCACCCAUGGUUUUGACAUGGUAGUCAUUGACGAAGCAGCCCAAGCCAGUGAAGUAGCAGUCCUUCCUCCCCUUUCUCUUGGUGCAGCACGGUGUGUUCUUGUUGGGGAUCCGCAGCAGCUUCCUGCUACUGUUAUCAGCAAAGCAGCUGGAACUUUGAUGUAUAGUAGAAGUCUCUUUGAGAGGUUUCAGCAAGCAGGCUGCCCAACUAUGUUAUUAUCAGUGCAGUACAGGAUGCAUCCUCAAAUUAGGGAUUUUCCAUCUAGGUACUUUUAUCAAGGUCGCCUUACAGACAGCGAAAGUGUUGCUAAUCUGCCUGAUGAAAGUUAUUACAAGGAUCCUUUACUAAAGCCGUACAUCUUUUAUGACAUUACACAUGGUCGGGAAUCACAUAGAGGUGGAUCUGUUUCAUAUCAGAAUACACAUGAAGCGCAGUUCUGUCUUCGUAUAUAUGAGCAUCUUCAAAAAACUUGUAAAUCUGUUGGUGUUGGGAAAGUUACUGUAGGUAUAAUCACUCCAUACAAGCUGCAACUUAAAUGCCUUCAACGGGAGUUCGCAGAUGUUUUAAAUUCUGAAGAAGGAAAAGACAUCUACAUAAAUACUGUGGAUGCUUUCCAGGGUCAAGAGCGUGAUGUUAUUAUAAUGUCAUGUGUGCGUGCCUCAAACCAUGGGGUAGGGUUUGUUGCAGAUAUACGGCGAAUGAACGUUGCUCUUACUCGUGCAAGAAGAGCUCUUUGGGUAAUGGGAAAUGCCAAUGCUCUGGUGAAAUCAGAAGAUUGGGCUGCAUUGAUUGCCGAUGCCAAAACCAGAAAAUGUUACAUGGACAUGGAUUCUUUGCCUAAGGAGUUCCUGCUACCCAGGUCAGCUUCUCAUGCUCCUCCACCGACCAAGAUGGCUAAUAAUAGAGGUUUCAGAUCUGGGUUACGGCACAGAAUAUAUGAUACACACAUGGAGUCCAGGUCAGGAACGCCUUCAGAAGAUGAUGAAAAGCCAAAUGCAUUACAUGUAAGAAAUGGGAGUUAUAGGUCUUCCAAGCCAUCACAAGAGAACUCAUUGGAUGAUUUUGAUCAAUCUGCUGAUAAAUCUAGAGAUUCCUGGCAAUAUGGCAUACAGAGGAGGCAAAAUACAGCUGGAAUUGGGAGAAGAGAUCUGUAGCUGAUGUCCGUGAAUGUGUGCCAUACAUCAUGGGGGCCAACCAUUUUUGUUCCUGAUGUUAUGACUUGCUCCUGUCUGGGAGACUGGUUGAUGGCAUAGCUAUGCAUGCUGAUCGUAUGUGCAAACUAAGGUUUAUUUAAAGGACUUCUUGGUGAUGCUGGAAGACUAUGGCAGUAAGGAAGCAUUUCUGUUCCUAAAGACUUGCUCCUCCUGGCUAGGACAGCUCUUGAUGACGCAGCUGGUCAAGCUGGUCUUGUUUGCAGAAUAUGGUUUGAGGAAGGGAAUUCUUGUUGAUGAAGGGAAUGGAAGGCUAUGUUACAACAGAGAGAUAUCCUGGUUGAUUAUGGUGGUACUUGGAAGAUUUAACAAUUUCAUGGGAUUUUGAGCAAUGGGGGCUCUCAGUCGUGGCUGAAGUUCUUUUGCUGUUAGGUUAUAAAGAGCACUUAGCAGCUUGUCAUCAAAGCCUCCAUUGGGACAGAGAAGAAAGUUCAUCCCAGCCAAUUAUCUUGGAUACAGAGCCAUAUGUGGCUUAAAAAUGUGAAUUCUUCUCGUCAGAACCCUUUACUGGUUGCUUCUCUGUUAAUGAUAUAUUACCACCGAGACUAUCCCAAGAGAGUUGGAGCUCUGUUAAGUAGUAUGUCUGACACUGGCGUCAUUUGUGCCAUGUUCUGAAUUUGAGCAAGACAACUAGUCCAUGGAAUGAGCCCAGGGCAUUAAGAGAACUGAGCUGACCGUGUGGGGAAACUGUUUCAGAAAGUUACUGAAUUCAUUUAAGGCUGAGCAUGGAACACUGGUGAUAUGGUAGCCUGUGAAAUACGAGCUGAUGAACAAAUCAGGAUGCCGUAUAGACUGAGAAGUGCUGUUAUUCGGUUCCUAAAUGUUGCUAUGGAGGCCCUUGGCAGAUCCUGGACUAGUUCUGUACAUAUUCUUGUCAAAAGCACAAUUCUUUUUAUUAGGUUGUCUAAUACUUAGGGAUGUUGGAGAAGUUCACAUUUUUUCCCUUCCCAUAAGAAAUUUUGAAGUUCAUUUUUCAUCUUUUCGCUGCGUUCUCCAUGCUCAAUGUAUCUUAGUAUGUUCACUACCUUGUAAUGAUAUGUUUGUUGGUAAUGUAUGUGCAUUCUUCGCUAGUAGUA
Molecule: RNA transcript, 6762 nt
Organism: Nicotiana tabacum (common tobacco)
Lineage: Eukaryota; Viridiplantae; Streptophyta; Magnoliopsida; Solanales; Solanaceae
Gene name: putative helicase MAGATAMA 3
Source: RefSeq, a predicted model, not a curated record